GAUGAACGCUGGCGGCGUGCCUAAUACAUGCAAGUCGAGCGAACGGACGAGAAGCUUGCUUCUCUGAUGUUAGCGGCGGACGGGUGAGUAACACGUGGAUAACCUACCUAUAAGACUGGGAUAACUUCGGGAAACCGGAGCUAAUACCGGAUAAUAUUUUGAACCGCAUGGUUCAAAAGUGAAAGACGGUCUUGCUGUCACUUAUAGAUGGAUCCGCGCUGCAUUAGCUAGUUGGUAAGGUAACGGCUUACCAAGGCAACGAUGCAUAGCCGACCUGAGAGGCUGAUCGGCCACCCUGGAACUGAGACACGGUCCAUGCUCAUACGGGAGGCAGCAGUAGCGUAUCUUCCGCAAUGGGCGAAAGCCUGACGGAGCAACGCCGCGUGAGUGAUGACGGUCUUCGGAUCGUAAAAACCUGUUACUAGGGAAGAACAUAUGUGUAAGUAAAUGUGCACAUCUUGACGGUACCUAAUCAGAAAGCCACGGCUAACUACGUG
Molecule: ribosomal RNA, 497 nt
Filed under: uncultured bacterium
Lineage: Bacteria
Description: partial 16S ribosomal RNA
Rfam family: Bacterial small subunit ribosomal RNA
Source: RNAcentral